This is a long non-coding RNA of Crocodylus porosus (Australian saltwater crocodile), 1810 nucleotides long. The record is from Ensembl. NCBI's taxonomy places the organism in Eukaryota, Metazoa, Chordata, Crocodylia, Crocodylidae.
CCUUUGUGCAUGGGCAGCCCCGCACCGUUCACCCCGCGGGGACUGAGCGCUGCGAUGUGGGCCCAAUAAAUGCAAGUGGUUAUGUUCUCACACAUCCGGGAAAUACUUCUCCAUCUUCCGCAAGUGCGGGUCCUCCGUUACCGUCAGCCGCUGAGCGCCCUGCAGCCUUCAGCGCGCCGCUCUUCCCAGCCUCUCGUGGCUCCCGUUGCGGGGAGCACUGCACCCGGUUGCCGUUUCUGAGUUGCAUCAACGUUAUUUCCUCACAUGCAGCUUUUCGCAUUUGCUCAAAUCCCAUCUACUUUUCUCAUUGCUUCUCCGGCUGGUACAGGCCAUAGAGAAGUGUCUAUUAUUCACUUAAUUUUACAGACAGGGAGACUGUUACAGGGCAUUUUAGUGAUUUACCAAAGUUAUGAAAUGAAACGGGAGCAGACGGAUGCCAUCAUUUAGAAGCUGACCCUAGACCCCUGCCUUUUCAUUUGGCGAUAUUGCCUUUUUUGUAUGUGCCGCUGCUCAUGCCAUCCUUGAAGCGAAUGAGAGUUUUCCCAUUGACUGCAACAGUUUCAGAGUAAAGCUGUCGAUUGGCCAUUUCCUUUCAAUUGCUGAAAUGUCUUUGCUUCAGACCUGUGUUCCUCUCCCAUGUCAGCUAUGACGUGAGAGAAACGACAUCAUCCUAUGUGCUUCCCUUGAUUCAGUAAGGAGGCACAUUAUAAUGAUUGUUUUACUGCAGUGCGCAGGACCCACACUUGUGAACCAGGACCCGAUUGCGCUGGGCACUGUACCAACACCGAGCAGAAAUCCAGUCCCUCCGCCGUGGACUUGUUCGGUCCAAGUGUCUGACGAGACAUAACUGAUUGAUACAGAAGGACGCAGCGGUUCUGCUGCCGUUCAGUUCACCCUCCUACUGCACCUGGGGGCUUCUGUAGUAUUAAAUCCUUGAAGCGCAUGGUAUCUCUGAAACCUCACAACCAAGCAGAGGUGGAGAUUGAUUUCCAUUGCCCCGGGAGGAAGAGAUGUGAUAUGUGGUGCUUCCCACCGUUCAGAUCCAACAGUGUCACAUCCCGCCUCAUCAGAAACAUUGAUUUGGGGCAGAAGAAGGAAGGGAAUCAAGAACUACAUUCCAUCAGCUACACUUCAACUACAGCAGCUUAUAGGAGGGCCCAGGAUGAAACACGGUAGCUUAUCAACAUCUGUAUCUCAACAGUUUUUUCGAUGAGGACUCAGUCUCUGGGAUCAACCUGCAACCUUUGUAUUUGAAGUCAGUAGUGGGAAAGUUCCAUAAAUACCAACACGGCUACAACCAAAAACCCACCAUAAAUUCUCUGCAUCACUUGACACAUUUUUUCUAGUCCCCAGUUUUUUCUUGUUGAAUCAGACAAAGUCACAUUUCCACUGAGGCUGUGGCAGUAGUCUUAUCAACCUGUACUUUGUGAUAUCCCACCAAAACCACCUUCAGUUGCUUCAGUACACUUAGCAUAUAUUGUACACAUCAAGGAACUCUACGGAAUGAUGCUAUGUUUGGAUCAAAUGCUCCUUGUACUUGAUGCAAAUUUCAGUGAAGUUAGAUUAGUUGGACAUGAAUACAUAGACUUAAGAUUCCUGAGGUUUCCAGAGUGUGAUUCGGAAUCUGGGGUGCCACUAAACUCUUGUUGAGUCUGGUGAUAGUUUCUGAAGUAUUUUUAAGUAUACGGUAUACCCGAGGACUGUACUAGGUGUUAUUUCUUUGUGGAGAAGAUUUAAACAAUGUUCUGGACACCUAUACAUUGUGCAUUUAUGAUGGAUGCAUCUAAAGACUUUAUAUCUUUUUCUCUUG